GACGAACGCUGGCGGCGUGCUUAACACAUGCAAGUCGAGCGGAAAGGCUCCUUCGGGGGUACUCGAGCGGCGAACGGGUGAGUAACACGUGAGUAAUCUGCCCUUGGCUUUGGGAUAACUACCGGAAACGGUGGCUAAUACCGGAUACGACCACUCCUUGCAUGAGGUGGUGGUGGAAAGUUUUUUCGGCCAGGGAUGUGCUCGCGGCCUAUCAGCUUGUUGGUGGGUAAUGGCCUACCAAGGCUUCGACGGGUAGCCGGCCUGAGAGGGUGACCGGCCACACUGGGACUGAGACACGGCCCAGACUCCUACGGGAGGCAGCAGUGGGGAAUAUUGGACAAUGGGCGGAAGCCUGAUCCAGCAACGCCGCGUGAGGGAUGACGGCC
This 386-nucleotide ribosomal RNA is filed under the name uncultured bacterium. RNAcentral's name for it is "bacterial SSU rRNA". It matches the Rfam family "Bacterial small subunit ribosomal RNA", at positions 28 to 416 of the family's 1533-position model. The record is from RNAcentral.